GUAAGGAAUAUUGGUCAAUGGAGGCAACUCUGAACCAGCCAUGCCGCGUGCAGGAAGACGGCCCUCUGGGUUGUAAACUGCUUUUAUCCGGGAAUAAACCUGCCUUCGUGAAGGUAGCUGAAUGUACCGGAAGAAUAAGGAUCGGCUAACUCCGUGCCAGCAGCCGCGGUAAUACGGAGGAUCCAAGCGUUAUCCGGAUUUAUUGGGUUUAAAGGGUGCGUAGGCGGCCUGUUAAGUCAGGGGUGAAAGACGGUGGCUAAACCAUCGCAGUGCCCUUGAUACUGAUGGGCUUGAAUGGACUAGAGGUAGGCGGAAUGUGACAAGUAGCGGUGAAAUGCAUAGAUAUGUCACAGAACACCGAUUGCGAAGGCAGCUGACUGAGCCUUGAUUGACGCUGAGGUACGAAAGUGUGGGUAGCGAACAGGAUUAGAUACCCGAGUAGUCC
Molecule: ribosomal RNA, 445 nt
Filed under: uncultured bacterium
Lineage: Bacteria
Description: partial 16S ribosomal RNA
Rfam family: Bacterial small subunit ribosomal RNA
Source: RNAcentral